Molecule: ribosomal RNA, 301 nt
Filed under: uncultured bacterium
Lineage: Bacteria
Description: partial 16S ribosomal RNA
Rfam family: Bacterial small subunit ribosomal RNA
Source: RNAcentral
CAGCAGCCGCGGGAAUACGGAGGGGGCUAGCGUUGUUCGGAAUUACUGGGCGUAAAGCGCACGUAGGCGGCUUGGUAAGUUAGAGGUGAAAGCCCGGAGCUCAACUCCGGAAUUGCCUUUAAGACUGCCGAGCUAGUAGGUGAGAGAGGUAAGUGGAAUUCCGAGUGUAGAGGUGAAACUCGUAGAUAUUCGGAAGAACACCAGCGGCGAAGGCGGCUUACUGGCUCAUUCUAGACGCUGAGGUGCGAAAGCGUGGGGAGCAAACAGGAUUAGAUACCCGCGUAGUCCCUGUCUCUUAUAC